This 422-nucleotide ribosomal RNA is filed under the name uncultured bacterium. Its description in RNAcentral is "bacterial SSU rRNA". It matches the Rfam family "Bacterial small subunit ribosomal RNA", at positions 233 to 647 of the family's 1533-position model. The record is from RNAcentral.
AUGUCUGAUUAGCUAGUUGGUGAGGUAAAGGCUCACCAAGGCGACGAUCAGUAGCGGGUCUGAGAGGAUGAUCCGCCACAUUGGGACUGAGACACGGCCAGACUCCUACGGGGAGGCAGCAGGUGGGAAUUUUGGACAAUGGGGGCAACCCUGAUCCAGCCAUGCCGCGUGCGGGAAGAAGGCCUUCGGGUUGUAAACCGCUUUCGGACAGAAAGAAAUCGCACGGGCUAAUACCCUGUGUGGAUGACGGUACUGUAAGAAGAAGCACCGGCUAACUACGUGCCAGCAGCCGCGGUAAUACGUAGGGUGCGAGCGUUAAUCGGAAUUACUGGGCGUAAAGCGUGCGCAGGCGGACAUUUAAGUCAGACGUGAAAUCCCCGGGCUUAACCUGGGAAUGGCGUUUGAAACUGGAUGUCUAGAGU